RNAcentral lists this ribosomal RNA (494 nucleotides) under uncultured bacterium. RNAcentral describes it as "partial 16S ribosomal RNA". It matches the Rfam family "Bacterial small subunit ribosomal RNA", at positions 28 to 507 of the family's 1533-position model. The record is from RNAcentral.
GACGAACGCUGGCGGCGUGCUUAACACAUGCAAGUCGAACGGUGAAGCGCCUUCCUUUUUGGUGGUUGUUGAUGAGUGGCGAACUGGUUAGUAAGACGGGAGUAACCUUCCCCCUGCUGCUGGAUAACCGCAAGAAAGUGUUGCUAAUACGUAAUAUCCUUGGUCUGUCGCUUUAUGGGUCUGAGAAGGAUAUUGUUUCGGUGGGGGAUGUGCUCGCGUCCUGUCAGCUUGUGGGGGGGGUGAUGGCCUACCAAGGCGUGUACGGUUAGCCGGCCGGAGAGGGCGGACGGACACAGUGGGAGUGAGACACGGACCAGACUCGUAAGGGAGCAAGAAGGGGGGAAUAGCGAACAAUGGGAGCAAGACUGAUGAAGCGACGCCGAGUGAGGGAUGGAGGCCUUCGGGUUGUGAACGUCUUUCGAGAGUGAAGCAGGUCUGCCUGGUUUGUGGGUGGGUUGACGGUAGCUGGAUAAGAAGCGCCGGCUAACUACGUG